AGCUCAGUUGGUAGAGCAUCGCAUUUGCAUUGCGAGGGUCGCGGGUUCGAAACCUGUCAUUUCC
Molecule: transfer RNA, 64 nt
Filed under: Dunaliella tertiolecta
Lineage: Eukaryota; Viridiplantae; Chlorophyta; Chlorophyceae; Chlamydomonadales; Dunaliellaceae
Rfam family: tRNA
About the family: Transfer RNA (tRNA) molecules are approximately 80 nucleotides in length. Their secondary structure includes four short double-helical elements and three loops (D, anti-codon, and T loops). Further hydrogen bonds mediate the characteristic L-shaped molecular structure. tRNAs have two regions of fundamental functional importance: the anti-codon, which is responsible for specific mRNA codon recognition, and the 3' end, to which the tRNAs corresponding amino acid is attached (by aminoacyl-tRNA synthetases). tRNAs cope with the degeneracy of the genetic code in two manners: having more than one tRNA (with a specific anti-codon) for a particular amino acid; and 'wobble' base-pairing, i.e. permitting non-standard base-pairing at the 3rd anti-codon position.
Source: RNAcentral